GGAGUUAGCCGGUGCUUCUUCUGCGAGUAACGUCACAGAUGUAAGGUAUUAACUUACACCCUUUCCUCCUCGCUGAAAGUGCUUUACAACCCGAAGGCCUUCUUCACACACGCGGCAUGGCUGCAUCAGGGUUUCCCCCAUUGUGCAAUAUUCCCCACUGCUGCCUCCCGUAGGAGUCUGGGCCGUGUCUCAGUCCCAGUGUGGCUGAUCAUCCUCUCAGACCAGCUAGGGAUCGUCGCCUAGGUGAGCCUUUACCUCACCUACUAGCUAAUCCCACCUGGGCUUAUCCAUCAGCGCAAGGCCCGAAGGUCCCCUGCUUUCCCCCGUAGGGCGUAUGCGGUAUUAGCAGUCGUUUCCAACUGUUAUCCCCCACAAAUGGGCAAAUUCCCAGGCAUUACUCACCCGUCCGCCGCUCGUCAUCUUCAAAAGCAAGCUUUUGAAAUGUUACCGCUCGACUUGCAUGUGUUAGGCCUGCCGCCAGCGUUCAAUCUGAGCCAGAAUCAAAACUACUGA
RNAcentral lists this ribosomal RNA (513 nucleotides) under uncultured bacterium. RNAcentral's name for it is "partial 16S ribosomal RNA". The record is from RNAcentral.